GACAAUCUGAGCUCAAACAGGUAGGACUACCCG
Molecule: ribosomal RNA, 33 nt
Filed under: Irpex lacteus
Lineage: Eukaryota; Fungi; Basidiomycota; Agaricomycetes; Polyporales; Irpicaceae
Description: partial 28S ribosomal RNA
Source: RNAcentral